This 325-nucleotide ribosomal RNA is filed under the name uncultured eukaryote. RNAcentral describes it as "partial 18S ribosomal RNA". It matches the Rfam family "Eukaryotic small subunit ribosomal RNA", at positions 1470 to 1796 of the family's 1831-position model. The record is from RNAcentral.
CCCUUAGAUGUUCUGGGCCGCACGCGCGCUACACUGGUGCAUUCAACGAGCCUAUCCUUGACCGACAGGUCCGGGUAAUCUUUGAAUCUGCAUCGUGACGGGGAUAGAUUAUUGCAAUUAUUAAUCUUCAACGAGGAAUGCCUAGUAGGCGCAAGUCAUCAGCUUGCGUCGAUUACGUCCCUGCUCUUUGUACACACCGCCCGUCGCUCCUACCGAUUGGGUGUGCUGGUGAAAUGUUCGGAUCGGCCGUUUGUCGCGGUUUCCGCGGCUCGUGGCUGAGAAGUUCAUUAAACCCUCCCACCUAGAGGAAGGAGAAGUCGUAACA